Molecule: non-coding RNA, 267 nt
Organism: Arachis ipaensis
Lineage: Eukaryota; Viridiplantae; Streptophyta; Magnoliopsida; Fabales; Fabaceae
Source: RefSeq, a predicted model, not a curated record
AAGAAAUAUUUGAAGAGAUAAGAGGACAAAUUUUAAAAAUUGAAUAAGGGUAAAAGAGUAAAAAAUUAGUAUCUCACAAGUUGUGUCUCAGUGUCUCAUCAAAUUAGAGGUACACAAAUUUAGUGUCUCCGUGUCCAUCCGUGUCCUCCCGUGUCCAUCAAAAAUCUGUCUCACCAAACCAAACAGCAGACAUAUGUCAUCGUGUUCAUGUCUCAUUGAGACAUGGACAUCAACCAAACACUACCUUAUUUUCAUAUGUGGUUUGAU